AUGAACGCUGGCGGCGUGCCUAAUACCUGCAGGUCGAGCGAACGGACGAGAAGCUUGCUUCUCUGAUGUUAGCGGCGGACGGGUGAGUAACACGUGGAUAACCUACCUAUAAGACUGGGAUAACUUCGGGAAACCGGAGCUAAUACCGGAUAAUAUUUUGAACCGCAUGGUUCAAAAGUGAAAGACGGUCUUGCUGUCACUUAUAGAUGGAUCCGCGCUGCAUUAGCUAGUUGGUAAGGUAACGGCUUACCAAGGCAACGAUGCAUAGCCGACCUGAGAGGGUGAUCGGCCACACUGGAACUGAGACACGGUCCAGACUCCUACGGGAGGCAGCAGUAGGGAAUCUUCCGCAAUGGGCGAAAGCCUGACGGAGCAACGCCGCGUGAGUGAUGAAGGUCUUCGGAUCGUAAAACUCUGUUAUUAGGGAAGAACAUAUGUGUAAGUAACUGUGCACAUCUUGACGGUACCUAAUCAGAAAGCCACGGCUAACUACGUG
RNAcentral lists this ribosomal RNA (496 nucleotides) under uncultured bacterium. RNAcentral's name for it is "partial 16S ribosomal RNA". It matches the Rfam family "Bacterial small subunit ribosomal RNA", at positions 29 to 507 of the family's 1533-position model. The record is from RNAcentral.